Molecule: ribosomal RNA, 114 nt
Filed under: Acinetobacter baumannii 25569_1
Lineage: Bacteria; Pseudomonadati; Pseudomonadota; Gammaproteobacteria; Moraxellales; Moraxellaceae
Source: RNAcentral
UGGCGACCAUAGCAAGAGUGAACCACCUGAUCCCUUCCCGAACUCAGAAGUGAAACCUCUUAGCGCUGAUGGUAGUGUGGGAUUACCAAUGUGAGAGUAAGUCAUCGCCAGCUC